Molecule: ribosomal RNA, 373 nt
Filed under: uncultured organism
Description: partial 16S ribosomal RNA
Rfam family: Bacterial small subunit ribosomal RNA
Source: RNAcentral
GUAGGUGGCAAGCGUUGUCCGGAAUUAUUGGGCGUAAAGCGCGCGCAGGCGGUUCUUUAAGUCUGAUGUGAAAGCCCACGGCUCAACCGUGGAGGGUCAUUGGAAACUGGAGAACUUGAGUACAGAAGAGAAAAGCGGAAUUCCACGCGUAGCGGUGAAAUGCGUAGAGAUGUGGAGGAACACCAGUGGCGAAGGCGGCUUUCUGGUCUGUAACUGACGCUGAGGCGCGAAAGCGUGGGGAGCAACAGGAUUAGAUACCCUGGUAGUCCACGCCGUAAACGAUGAGUGCUAAGUGUUAGGGGGGUUUUCCGCCCCCCUUAGUGCUGCAGCUAACGCAUUAAGCACUCCGCCUGGGAGUACGGCCGCAAGGCUG